RNAcentral lists this ribosomal RNA (492 nucleotides) under uncultured bacterium. RNAcentral's name for it is "partial 16S ribosomal RNA". It matches the Rfam family "Bacterial small subunit ribosomal RNA", at positions 29 to 507 of the family's 1533-position model. The record is from RNAcentral.
AGUGAACGCUGGCGGUAGGCCUAACACGUGCAAGUCGAACGGCAGCACAGUAAGAGCUUGCUCCUACGGGUGGCGAGUGGCGGACGGGUGAGGAAUACAUCGGAAUCUACUUUUUCGUGGGGGAUAACGUAGGGAAACUUACGCUAAUACCGCAUACGACCUACGGGUGAAAGCAGGGGAUCUUCGGACCUUGCGCGAUUGAAUGAGCCGAUGUCGGAUUAGCUAGUUGGCGGGGUAAAGGCCCACCAAGGCGACGAUCCGUAGCUGGUCUGAGAGGAUGAUCAGCCACACUGGAACUGAGACACGGUCCAGACUCCUACGGGAGGCAGCAGUGGGGAAUAUUGGACAAUGGGCGCAAGCCUGAUCCAGCCAUACCGCGUGGGUGAAGAAGGCCUUCGGGUUGUAAAGCCCUUUUGUUGGGAAAGAAAAGCAGCAGGUUAAUACCCCGCUGUUCUGACGGUACCCAAAGAAUAAGCACCGGCUAACUUCGUG